GAUGAAGAACGUAGCGAAAUGCGAUACUUGGUGUGAAUUGCAGAAUCCCGUGAACCAUCGAGUCUUUGAACGCAAGUUGCGCCCGAAGCCAUUAGGCCGAGGGCACGCCUGCCUGGGUGUCACACACCGUUACCCUCGCGCCAACGUCCAUCGUUGGCCGCGGCGCGGGGCGUGCGCUGACCUCCCGCGAGCGGGGUCUCGUGGUUGGUUGAAAAUCGAGUUCGCGGUCGAGGGUGCCGUGAUGAAAUGGUGGAUGGGCGACGCCCGAGGCCAAUCACGCGCGACUCUGUCUGGCUCGGACUCCUGGACCCCUUCGGCGUCUCCGGACGCUCUUUGGCGAGACCUCAGGUCAGGCGGGGCUACCCGCUGAGUUUAAGCAUAUCAAUAGGCGGAGGA
RNAcentral lists this unclassified non-coding RNA (396 nucleotides) under soil metagenome. RNAcentral's name for it is "partial contains 5.8S ribosomal RNA, internal transcribed spacer 2, and large subunit ribosomal RNA". The stretch from base 1 to 122 matches the Rfam family "5.8S ribosomal RNA", at positions 35 to 154 of the family's 154-position model. The record is from RNAcentral.